This 21-nucleotide microRNA is filed under the name Homo sapiens (human). RNAcentral's name for it is "hsa-miR-5190". Lineage: Eukaryota; Metazoa; Chordata; Mammalia; Primates; Hominidae. The record is from miRBase by way of RNAcentral.
CCAGUGACUGAGCUGGAGCCA